UACGGGGGGGGCAAGCGUUGUUCGGAAUUACUGGGCGUAAAGGGCUCGUAGGCGGCCAACUAAGUCGGACGUGAAAUCCCUCGGCUUAACCGGGGAACUGCGUCCGAUACUGGAUGGCUUGAGUUCGGGAGAGGGAUGCGGAAUUCCAGGUGUAGCGGUGAAAUGCGUAGAUAUCUGGAGGAACACCGGUGGCGAAGGCGGCAUCCUGGACCGACACUGACGCUGAGGAGCGAAAGCCAGGGGAGCGAACGGG
Molecule: ribosomal RNA, 253 nt
Filed under: uncultured bacterium
Lineage: Bacteria
Description: partial 16S ribosomal RNA
Rfam family: Bacterial small subunit ribosomal RNA
Source: RNAcentral